AUCUAAGACUCCUCCGAUCGACUCUGGCGCGAUCGUUGCGUUCUCUCACUUCACCCCCAAACCCUAAAUUCCGCAGCCAUGGCCGCCCACCGACUUCGCCUCUGGUGGCGGCGGCGCCGCCUCUCCGCCGCCGCCGCCGCCGCCGGAGCCUUCGUGGUCAUCUCCGCCGCUCUCGUCCUCACCCUCAGCUCGUGGCCUCGGGACGAUGAGGCGCCGCGGAGCUUCUCCUCGGACUCCGCCGAUCUCGUCGAUCUCACCCUCCUAAAGAACGCGAAAGAGAAGGGCGCGUUGUGCUUAGAUGGGAGCCCGGCGGGGUACCAUCUCCAGAGGGGAUUUGGAUCGGGCUCCAAUAGUUGGCUCCUCCAUUUAGAGGGUGGAGGCUGGUGCCGUAGCUUGCAAUCAUGUGCUUUGCGUAAACUGACAGCAUUAGGUUCAUCAAACUACAUGGAACGGCAGAUUGCCUUUCAUGGCAUUUUAAGCAACAUCCAAUCUCAAAAUCCUGAUUUCUAUAACUGGAACAAAGUAAAGAUACGGUAUUGUGAUGGCGCAUCUUUCUCUGGUGAUGUUGAAAAUGAACUGCAGAAUGGGACAACUUUGUUCUUCAGAGGCCAGCGUAUUUGGGAAGCUAUUAUGGAUGAGCUUUUAGGUGAAGGACUUGCAGAAGCUAAACAGGCCUUUCUUACAGGAUGCUCAGCUGGUGGCCUAGCUACUUACAUUCACUGUGACGAUUUUCGUGCACUUCUACCAAAGAAGGUUACUGUUAAAUGUCUUGCAGAUGGUGGCUUUUUCCUUGAUGUGAAUGACAUUAUUGGGAAAAGGAGCAUGCGAUCUUUCUACAAUGAUGUUGUCCAUCUUCAGGAAGUGGGAAAACGAUUUCCAAAUUGCAUUUCAAUGAUGGAGCCAGCCCAGUGUUUUUUUCCUCACAAGAUUAUCAAGAACAUGAAGACUCCAACUUUUAUUCUCAAUCCAGCUUAUGAUGCUUGGCAGAUACAGCACGUCUUGGCUCCAAAUGCAUCUGAGCCUCAAGACUCAUGGUUAAGUUGCAAGCUGGAUAUUAACAAAUGUAAUUCCAGCCAGAUUGAAAUUCUCCAAGGUUUUAGGGCAGAUUUGCUCGAUGCCUUGAGUGAAGUGAAGAAGAAAAAGGAGUGGGGCAUGUUCAUAGAUUCUUGUUUUGUACACUGUCAAACAUUGAAUAAUAUCACAUGGCACUCGCCAUCUUCUCCCAGAGUUAACGAUAAGACAAUUGCGGAGGCAGUCGGAGAUUGGUAUUUCGAACGCAGAGUAGUAAAAGAAAUAGACUGUCCAUUUCCGUGCAAUCCGACAUGUUAUAAUCUGGUGUUCGCUCAGCCCUACAAGUUAUAAGACUUGUCUCUCCAGCUCAGUGAUUAGAUUUAUUCAGUGAAUUUAUUCCUUCAAAGUUUAUUCAGUGAAGUAUGGAUAAAGUAGCUCGGAUUAUCACCUACUGCCUUCUCCGAACUGGCAUUAUUUUUGUAAAUGAUUUGGAACGUACCCAGCAGUUGGUGAGAGCUCUGCAAAGUUUAAAACUGUUUGAAGAGUUCUUUUCGAAGAGAUGGACCAUGGAAAAUGGAGAUGAUAAUGCUUCAUAAGAGACUCGCAGCAUUCGAAGGGUCCUCUUCCACACAUAAAAAGGUGAAGAAGCAUCACUCUCAACUUCUUCUUUCCCUUUAUUGGAUUCUUCUCCCUCUAUUUCACAUCACCGAAUCAGGUAAUAAAGCUCACGCUUGGUCAAAGCAUCAGUGGUUGUUCGAAGAGGGGCUCCGUGAUUCACGUCCACGGAUGUUCCUAGGGGUGGAAACGAGCC
This is an RNA transcript of Ananas comosus (pineapple), 1822 nucleotides long. It is a transcript of the gene named pectin acetylesterase 5-like, with no coding region annotated. The transcript has 13 exons. NCBI's taxonomy places the organism in Eukaryota, Viridiplantae, Streptophyta, Magnoliopsida, Poales, Bromeliaceae. The record is from RefSeq and is a predicted model, not a curated record.